GAUGAAGAACGCAGCGAAAUGCGAUAAGUAGUGUGAAUUGCAGAAUUCAGUGAAUCAUCGAAUCUUUGAACGCACAUUGCGCCCUUUGGUAUUCCUUAGGGCAUGCCUGUUCGAGCGCCAUUUAAACCUUCAAGCUAAGCUUGGUGUUGGGUGACUGUCCGCUUCACUGCGGACUCGCCUCAAAAUUAUUGGCGGCCGGUACAUUGGCUUCGAGCGCAGCAGAAACGCGAACUCGGGCCCGUCGUAUUGGCUCCCAGAAGCUAUCUUCACAAUUUUGACCUCGGAUCAGGUAGGGAUACCCGCUGAACUUAAGCAUAUCAAUAAGCGGAGGA
RNAcentral lists this unclassified non-coding RNA (332 nucleotides) under soil metagenome. Its description in RNAcentral is "partial contains 5.8S ribosomal RNA, internal transcribed spacer 2, and large subunit ribosomal RNA". The stretch from base 1 to 120 matches the Rfam family "5.8S ribosomal RNA", at positions 35 to 154 of the family's 154-position model. The record is from RNAcentral.